CUACUUACCUGGCAGGGAAGAAUCGGUGGGCACGAUGGCCGAACUCCCAGGACGUGACUAUCCCAUUACACUUCGGGGGUGCUGGUGCCUGAGAUGUUCCCAAAUGCACGAUACUCGACUGCAAAAUUUGUGGUAGUGAGGGACUGAUUUAUUCUUUU
Small nuclear RNA from Amblyraja radiata (thorny skate), 158 nucleotides. RefSeq annotates it as U1 spliceosomal RNA. The transcript has a single exon. NCBI's taxonomy places the organism in Eukaryota, Metazoa, Chordata, Chondrichthyes, Rajiformes, Rajidae. The record is from RefSeq and is a predicted model, not a curated record.